GUCGGGAUAGCUCAGUUGGUANAGCAGAGGACUGAAAAUC
Molecule: transfer RNA, 40 nt
Filed under: Narcissus jonquilla
Lineage: Eukaryota; Viridiplantae; Streptophyta; Magnoliopsida; Asparagales; Amaryllidaceae
Description: partial tRNA-Phe
Source: RNAcentral